RNAcentral lists this transfer RNA (69 nucleotides) under Craugastor mexicanus (Mexican robber frog). Its description in RNAcentral is "tRNA-Ala". It matches the Rfam family "tRNA". From Rfam's summary of the family: Transfer RNA (tRNA) molecules are approximately 80 nucleotides in length. Their secondary structure includes four short double-helical elements and three loops (D, anti-codon, and T loops). Further hydrogen bonds mediate the characteristic L-shaped molecular structure. tRNAs have two regions of fundamental functional importance: the anti-codon, which is responsible for specific mRNA codon recognition, and the 3' end, to which the tRNAs corresponding amino acid is attached (by aminoacyl-tRNA synthetases). tRNAs cope with the degeneracy of the genetic code in two manners: having more than one tRNA (with a specific anti-codon) for a particular amino acid; and 'wobble' base-pairing, i.e. permitting non-standard base-pairing at the 3rd anti-codon position. The record is from RNAcentral. Lineage: Eukaryota; Metazoa; Chordata; Amphibia; Anura; Craugastoridae.
AAGGCUUUAUCUUAAUUAAAGGGUUUGAGUUGCAUUCAAGAGAUGUAGGUUAAUGUCCUGCAAGUCUUA